This 65-nucleotide transfer RNA is filed under the name Weissella viridescens. It matches the Rfam family "tRNA". From Rfam's summary of the family: Transfer RNA (tRNA) molecules are approximately 80 nucleotides in length. Their secondary structure includes four short double-helical elements and three loops (D, anti-codon, and T loops). The record is from Rfam by way of RNAcentral. Lineage: Bacteria; Bacillati; Bacillota; Bacilli; Lactobacillales; Lactobacillaceae.
GUUAUUGUUGCUUGAGCAGAGGACUUUUGAUCCUUGGGUCGUAGGUUCGAAUCCUACUGGGAGCA